Molecule: ribosomal RNA, 510 nt
Filed under: uncultured bacterium
Lineage: Bacteria
Description: partial 16S ribosomal RNA
Rfam family: Bacterial small subunit ribosomal RNA
Source: RNAcentral
GAUGAACGCUGGCGGCGUGCCUAAUACAUGCAAGUCGAACGAAACUUCUUUAUCCGAGUGCUUGCACUCACCGAUAAAGAGUUGAGUGGCGAACGGGUGAGUAACACGUGGGCAACCUGCCCAAAAGAGGGGGAUAACACUUGGAAACAGGUGCUAAUACCGCAUAACCAUAGUUACCGCAUGGUAACUAUGUAAAAGGUGGCUAUACUACCGCUUUUGGAUGGGCCCGCGGCGCAUUAGCUAGUUGGUAGGGUAAAGGCUUACCAAGGCAAUGAUGCGUAGCCGAAUUGAGAGGUUGAUCGGCCACAUUGGGACUGAGACACGGCCCAAACUCCUACGGGAGGCAGCAGUAGGGAAUCUUCCACAAUGGGCGAAAGCCUGAUGGAGCAACGCCGCGUGGGUGAAGAAGGUCUUCGGAUCGUAAAACCCUGUUGUUAGAGAAGAAAGUGCGUGAGAGUAACUGUUCACGUUUCGACGGUAUCUAACCAGAAAGCCACGGCUAACUACGUG